RNAcentral lists this ribosomal RNA (856 nucleotides) under Helvella terrestris. RNAcentral's name for it is "partial large subunit ribosomal RNA". It matches the Rfam family "Eukaryotic large subunit ribosomal RNA", at positions 76 to 935 of the family's 3401-position model. Lineage: Eukaryota; Fungi; Ascomycota; Pezizomycetes; Pezizales; Helvellaceae. The record is from RNAcentral.
UGCCUCAGUAACGGCGAGUGAAGCGGCAAGAGCUCAAAUUUGAAAUCUGGGGUCGACGGCCCCCGAGUUGUAAUUUGUAGGGGCACCUUUGGGGGGGACAGCCGGGCGGAUGUUCCUUUGGAACAGGACGUCGCAGAGGGUGAGAAUCCCGUACCUGCUCAGGCUGCUCCCACCCUCCUUCGGUACCUUCGACGAGUCGAGUUGUUUGGGAAUGCAGCUCCAAGCGGGUGGUAAAUUUCACCUAAGGCUAAAUACCGGCGAGAGACCGAUAGCGCACAAGUAGAGUGAUCGAAAGAUGAAAAGCACUUUGAAAAUAGAGUCAAAAAGUACGUGAAAUUGUUGAAAGGGAAGCGCUUGGGACCAGCCUCGGGCUGGGGGUAAUCAUCGCGCCCUCAGGGGCCGUGCACUUGCCCCCGCCCGGGCCAGCAUCAGUUGACGUGGCGGGACAACCGCCCGGGAAAUGUGGCCCCGUGACCUGGGGUGUUAUUUAGGCCCGGGCUCAACGCCGUCAACGUCGACUGAGGAUCGCGCCUAGGCUCGAAUGCUGGCUUAAUGGUCUUCAGCGACCCGUCUUGAAACACGGACCAAGGAGUCUAACAUCCAUGCGAGUGUUUGGGCGUCAAACCCUCUCGCGAAAUGAAAGUGAACGGGGAUGGAAACCCUCCUCCGGUGGGCGCACCAUCGACCGAUCCUGAUGUCUUCGGAUGGAUUUGAGUAGGAGCAUGGCUGUUGGGACCCGAAAGAUGGUGAACUAUGCCUGAAUAGGGUGAAGCCAGAGGAAACUCUGGUGGAGGCUCGCAGCGGUUCUGACGUGCAAAUCGAUCGUCAAAUUUGGGUAUAGGGGCGAAAGACUAAU